RNAcentral lists this long non-coding RNA (4984 nucleotides) under Homo sapiens (human). RNAcentral's name for it is "HSALNT0243824". Lineage: Eukaryota; Metazoa; Chordata; Mammalia; Primates; Hominidae. The record is from RNAcentral.
AGCAGGAGUGAGAGUUUAUUAAAAAGUUUUAGAGCAGGAACAAAAGGAAGUACACUACACUUGGGUCAGGCAGGCAACUUGAGAGAUCUAAGUGCCCUGCCUGACCCUUAACUUGGGGUUUUAUGUAUUUGGCAUAGUUCUGGGAUUUACGUCUCAUCUCCCCUGAUUCUUCCCUUGCAGCAGGCUGUCCGCGUAUGUGGUGACCUGCCAGCACUUGGAAGGGGUCGCAUGCACAGUGUGAUUACUGAAGUUGCGCGCAUGCUCACUUGAGGCAUUUUUCCCCUUACCAGUCGUGCGUUCCCAGAGGAAGGUAGGUCAUAUACUGGUUAAAUUCCGCCAUUUUGCCUCUUGGUGCGCAUGCUCCAGGCUGCUUGCCCAGCUCCUGAGAUCUUAUCGGGAAGCGGCUGAUCACCAGAUCAGGGUGUUUUGUAUCUAUUGAGAGACUGUCCUUGCUUGGAGCUGGCUGCAACCAAUUAUUAUUUUACAGAGACAGUUUAACAACCACCUGACCAUCACCUGAUGGUAGCCUGACAUUCCUGUGGGGGCCCUCACCUGUCCUGCUCAUGUUUGCCUAGCUCCCUACUCUAACAUUUCCACUCUGUGGACCCCAGGUUGAGAUCUUCUGCAGGGAAGACUGUCCUCAAAUAGCCUGCUGGGGAGACAUCUCCUUCCCGUUUACCUUUCCAUUUGCCCUUGCGGUGUUAGGCAAAGGCUGAAGCUGGCCUCUGUGGCAGAGGGUUUCUUCCCAACACGCCAAUGACGCUGGUGGAGAGUCUUAAAAACAGCUGUGCUGGGGAGAGUUCUUGGUGUGUACCUUUCAGAGACCUCCUCCUUAAGACUCUCAAAGACUGAGUCAGGCCAGUGGGAGCCUGGCAGCAAUUCUUAGGGGACAGUGACAGCUUUUUGAGGAGGACUAAUUGGCUUCUAGGGCUGGAGGCCACUUGGGUCUGACAGACUGCCCUGCUGCCAUCCCUCCAGGGCACCCCCCACUCCCUUGCCUCAGGGCCUUCCUGCACUUCUUCCUUUUGUCCUCAAUGUUCUUCACCCCACCUUUUCCACUGGUACCCUCUGCCUAUGGUCAAGGCUUUGGUGAGACCCACUUUCCUCUUAGACCUUCCUGGAUCCCCCAAAGUCUGUGUUGGAAGCCCCUCCCAUGUGCCCUUGUUUGAGCUUUUAAUUUUCCACCAUGACGCUUGUCACACUGCUUUGUAAUUGGCUCUCUGUUAGUCUGCAUCUCUACUGGGUUGUACCUUCCAGGAGGACAGCUGCCAUGUGACUCUUGUAAUCUUCCCACCGCCAACACCCAGCACAGCGUCAGGAACACAGAGCAUGAUGAGCACAAGCUUGAGGGAGGAUCACUUGAGCCCAGAAGUUCGAGACCAGCCUGGGCACCAUGGUGAAACCUCAUCUCUGCAAAAAAAAAAUUAAAAAUUAGCCAGCUAUGGCGGCUCACGCCUCUGGUCCCAGCUACCCAGGAAGCUGAGAUGGGAGGAUCGCUUGAGCCCAGGGGUUCGAGGCUGCGGUGAGCCAUUGUUGUGCCACUGCACUCCAGCCUGGGCAACAGAGCAAGCCCCUGUCUCAACAAAACAAAACAAAACAAAAAAUUCAGUCGUGCUGCAUAAGUAAGGCACCAGGAGUAGGAAUAGGGUCUUUGCAGCUCCCGUGGCAAUUGCCCUUCUCUGGUGGUGGCAAGGGACUAAGGAACUCCCUGGACACAGGGGAUCUGGCUGUCCCCAGAUCAUCAACAGAGACAUGAAGGUCGUUAGAGGUCGUCUGAUCCUUUGACCUCAAUCUGAGCCCACCACUCAGAAAACCUGGAAAUUGUAUGACAUUUUCGUGAUACAACUCGGUGUGUGUGUGUUGGGGAAAGGAACCAACAGCUUUCAUCAUAUUGUCAAAAGAGUCUAGGCUGGGCAUGGUGGCUCACGCCUGCAAUCCCAACCCAAAGGCCUGUGGAGCACACAUGAGGACAAGGCGGGCAGAUCACCAAAGGUCAGGCAUUCGAGAUCAGCCUGGCCAACGUGGUGAAACCCCAUCUCUACUAAAAAUACAAAAAUUAGCCAGGCGUGGUGACAUGUGCCUGUAAUCCCAGCUACUCGGGAGGCUGAGACAGGAGAACUGCUUGAACCCAGGAGGCGGAGGUUGCAGUGAGCAGAGGUUGCGCCGCUGCAGUCCAGCCCGGGCAACAAGAGCGAAUCUCCGUCUCAAAACAACAAAACAAAAACAUAGACCUGCUCGGUUCUCUCUGUGACUUCAGAGGCCCAAGGAGUCCUCAGCACUAUAGAUGCAUGUGGCCCCUCAGAAGACAACAUUUCACAGAUCUGCAAAGAGCAAAGGUCAAAUUUAUUUAAUACAACAUCCACGAGGGUCCCUGCAGCUGUGUCACUGAGGCAAACAGGAAAAGUGAUUUUGGCUAGGCGUGGUUCUCAUCUGUGAAAUUCCACAGCGCAAUGACAGCAGCCUCUCUCCCACCCACUCAAGACACUGUCAGGAAUGUCUUAAGACCUCAGGAGACCACUUCUUUAGCAAGCAAUUUUGUUUUUUGUUUUUUUUGAGAUGGAUUCUCACUCUGUCACUCAGGCUGGAGUGCAGUGGCGCGAUCUCCGCUCACUACAACCUCCGUUUCCUGGGUUCAAGCGAUAAUCUCACCUCAGCCUCUUGAGUAGCUGAUACUACAGGCAUGCGCCACCACGCCCGGCUAAUUCUUGUAUUUUUAGUAGAGACAGGGUUUCAUCAGGCUGGUCUCAAACUCCUGACCUCAGGUGAUCCGCCCACCUCAGCCUCCUGAAGUGCUGGGAUUACAGGCGUGAGCCACCUUGCCUGCCCUGGCAAGGAAUACAUUUUUAAAAAUUAGUAAGAAACAUACACAUUUCAAGUUUUCAAUUAAGAAUAAUAUUUGCUGAUGGCACCAUCUUCCUGUCUUUCAGCCUUCAGCAUGGUAGAGGAAAAGAGAAAGAGUGUAGACAAAAACAGUUGAAGAACAUCUGUGCUUGUUCCACCUUCAUUUUCUGUUUUGUGCGUUGCCUGAAUGAACGGUGUCUUCAGGUUGGUAUUUCACAGGCGGUGCUCCCAAGUAGUCUGGUUUUCCCAUUUGUGGAGGGCGAGGUCAUAGAGGGGACAGGGGGAGGCUGUCUGGUCAGCACUGUGUAUUUCCAAAGAACAAGGACUAGCCAAAACUACAAGCCUUUGAAGGACCAAAGGAAAAGAGAAAAAACCAGCCUCUAACCAGGCCAUGCGCUAGAAAUGAUUGAGUAUAAAAAAGAAAAUUGGUUUCUGUGUAUGAGGGUGCAUGGAAAAGGUCUUUAUCUCUGCACAAAACAAAAUAUUCAAGUUUCAGAAUAUCCCAAUGGCCUUGCCCUGGAUCUCCUCUUGUGCUCUUCCAAUUUCCAAGGAUGUUCCAACUUGGUGGAAGGAGGGUAUGUGGGAAAUUCAACAGCCCCUCUGUAUCUCUUUCUACCCAACAUUAACUUAGCAGGAUGGAUUUAAGAACCGGCAGCUUAGCCUGAGGAAUUGCUGUGUUCUGUGGGAGCAGGGCAGGUUCAUAAAUAAGUGCACAGAGGUCUUGAAAUACAGGGAUUAUCUGUUCUUCUCGGAACAUGGAUGUCCUUCCAGGGAUGUGCAUCUGGCCUUGCUGUCUAAGUUCCAUCAAGGGAGCCUUCCGUUCUCUGUAGCGACAAGAAACAAGGCAAGUUAUGAUCACACCUCUCAAGAUUGAAGAUUGCCCUGGUGGAGAGAAAUGCAAAAUGACAGCACUUCUCAAAGAAAAUGCAAAGCAGGGCUGUCACACACUGGUCCCCCACCCUGCAGGGUUCUCUCUGUGACUUCAGAGGCCCAAGGAGUCCUCAGCACUACAGAUACACGUGGCCCCUCAGAAGACAACAUUUCACAGAUCUGCAAAGAAUAAAGGUCAAAUUUACUUAAUACAACACCCACCAGGGUUCCUGCAGCUGUGUCACUGAGGCAAACAGGGAAAGUAAUUUUGGUUAGGUGUGGUUCUCACCUCUGAAAUUCCACAGCACAAUGACUGCAGCCUCUCUCCCACCCACUCAAGACAUUGUCAGGAACGUCUUAAGACCUCAGGAGACCACUUCUUUAGCAAGCAAUUUUUUUUAGAUGGAUUCUCACUCUGUCACUCAGGCUGGAGUGCAGUGGCGCGGUCUCUGCUCACUACACCCUCCCUCUCCUGGCUCCUGCCCGUAUGUAUUUCUCCUUCUCUCCAUGCCUGCUCUGUAGGGACCAUAGCCUCUGUCCCUGCAUACAUGUUGGACAUCAAUCACAUCAGUCCACCAAGUAACUUCAUCAAGCACCCAUGUACGCCCAGCACAGCGUCCCAAGGGUGCCCCACUUACCCACAGAAGAAGAAAGGCAACUUUGUAAGAGAUCUGACUUCUAGCUCCAGUUCUGUCUCUAGCUAACGUGAGAUGUACCCGUUUGAGGCCUGUUUUUUAAUUUUGAAAAUGAAGGACUGAACUUAGAUGGUCCAACUGAAAUGUUUUAAAAUGAUAUGAUUCUACCUUAAAAAGAGAAUGAAAUUCUGAUAUAUUUUCAACACAGGAAAACCUUGAAAACGUUAUGCUAAAUGAAAUAAGGCAGACAUGAAAGGACAAAUAUAUGAUUCCACUUAUGUGAUGUACCUCAAAUAGUCAAAUUCAUAGAGACAGAAAGUAGACAGUGGUUGCUAGGGGUUGCUGGAGGGGCAAUGGGGAGUUAGUGUUUAAUGGGUACAGUGUUUCAGUGGCUGCUCUGCCUAUGGAGUAGCCAUUCUUUUGUUUCUUUACUUCUCUAAUAAACUUGCUUUCACUUAAAAAGAAAAAGCUCUGGAGAUGGAUAGUGGUGGUGGUUGCACAGCAAUGUGAACGGACCUAAUGCAACUGAAUUAUACACUUUAAAAUGGUUAAGUAUACACUGGAAAAUGGUGAAUUUGCCGGGCGGGCGCAGUGGCUCACGCCUGUAAUCCCAACACUUUGGGAGGCCGAGGCGGGUG